AGUCCUCAGAAAAGCUUGGAGAUCCCCUUCAGAGGUGCUGACUCAUUUCUCCUUCCUAUCUAAGCAUGUGUUGCCGGAGAAACCACGAAAAGAAAUUGGAUUACAGAAAAUAUGAAACUCAUCCUUGUUCAUGUAUGCAAUAACAAACAAAAGAGAAAGGUAUCCUGGGAGCCUUCAUCCAGUAGCUGAUGGAAACAGAAGCAGACAACAACAGCUAAACACUGAACUGAACUUCAGGAAUACAGUUGCAGAAAGGGAAGAGUCAUGAGCAAAGGGGUGAAGACCAGACUGCUGAAACACACAGACACAGUUGAUCUGAACCAUGGAGAUCUCUAGGCCCACAUAUUCAUCACUGGGAAACCAGCAUGGAACUCAUACAGGCACCAUGAAUCUGGGUGUCAGGUUAGGGGACUCAGGAAAUCUAUAGGGUCACUUGUAGUAGUUCAGUACUUUUCCCUAGCACAGGAAUGAACUUUCAGAGCCCUUUUCACAUAGAGGGAUACUCCCUCAGAAUUUUCACAAGGGUGAGGGCCUAUGGCCUAUCUGAGGGUCUAUGAGAGACCCUGGAGACUCCCUAUGGUUGGUUGUUUACUGUGAGGGGCAGGCAGGGGGGGAUGGAGAGGGAACUGGUGUUGAUAUGUUAAACAAUCAUGUAUCUCAUUUAAAUACAAAUGUGGAGAAAAAGGAAAUAAAAAACUUUCAUUUUUAAUUAGACUGAUAAUAGAGGGUGAUGGGGAUGUCCUUCAAUAUGCAGUGAAUAAGUGUUUCUCUCAUUGGUUAAUGUGAAAUACUGUUUAAAGCAAUGAACAGGCAGUAUGUCGACAGGCAGAAAAUGUCAUUUGGGCUAGCAGACUAGGAGGAUUUUGGGAGAGAAACACAGAGAGUGAAUCUCAUGACAAACACCAUGCUACUACUAGGAAGUCAGGAGGCUCAGGUACUCAAUUGUAAGCAAAGACCACAUGGAACUACACACAUUAAUGGAAAUGGGUUAUUAUCUAUGAGACCACUUGGCACAAAGAGGCAUGAGAAACUUCUGCAUACACCAUUCUGUUUGUGGAGUGACAAGUGAUUUUAUGUUUUGUAUGCAGAGAUGGCUCAGAAUCCCUGUUCUCAAGUUCACAUGAUCAUCAAUGUGUACUUUGGAUGUGGGAAGGGAAUAAGGGGGGGGCAGAGGCAAACAAAAGUCUGAAACAAUGGAGGAGUAGAGGUGGGUAAGAACAGUGAUGUCUGGAUAUAGAGAGGAAGUACAGCUAUGGAGAAAGGUCCAGCAUAAGGGGAAAUAUUAGGGGAUUCACAGGGAUGAACCUAUCUUAGAAUCCAAGAAGUGGUGGAGGAGAUGUCAUUGAUUCCCUUCUCUAAAAUGAAGUUGACGUCUGCCUUGGUUACAAUUCCUAGAGCUUCAUUCAGUAUCUGUUCUAAGCAAAAAUAGGUACCCACAGUUAAGCACUUAAACCUCCCCCUGGAAUCCAGUUUUGGAGAGGUAGGAGGGAUGAGUAAAGGAUCCCAGAUGGUAUUGCAAAAAACAGCAGAAACAGUUGACCAGACCCAGAGAUAGCAUGGGGACACUUGUCAUAAAACAGGGAACAGGACUGUAGGAAUCAAGCCCUCUAAAUGUGGGUGUCAGCUGGGAAGCCAAGAUACUCUAUGGGAACUCCAGCAGUAGAGGCAGUCUUCAACCCUAGAGCACAAAGGAACUCUGGGAGCUCAUUCCUUCUACAGAGGUACUACUACACACCAGAUGAAGCAAGGAAGGCCUAUGCCCUUCAGCAAAUAACAUGAAAGAGUCUGAAGGUCCCUGGUAAAGUGCCUCCCUUUCCCUUAGGAGUAUUUCAGAAUGGGUUGUGGGGCCUGGUAGGGAACAUGGGAGGAAGGGAGGGCCAGGGAAUGGGGGAUAGACAUUUACAUAUGAGUAGUAAUUAAAGAAUUUAAAUAAAGUCAUCAAAAAAGAAAAAGAAACUGUGUUGACCACAGGAGUCAUGAAUAACAGCAAUAUGCAAACUUCUAUUGAGGUGUUUGGCAUCCUGAGCCCACUUGGUGUGUUUUAUAUUAGAAACACACACACACACACACACACACACACACACACACACACACUCGAAUACAAUUAAAGCAGACGUUAAGGUGUCAAAACUAGUUUGAAAAACAGAUUGUUCAUUAGGAAUGUACUCAAGAGAUAGAGCGUCAUGUACUACCAGGUUGGUAAGAGAAAAGAGAGACCCGCAAAUGUGUGACACUCGUAUUAUUAGCCUUGCUACAUCAUUCUGAAAAUGUCCAAGCAUAUGUGGUCAGCAUCACCUGUGCAAGCCUCCUGAUGUUGGUGGGCAUGGACAGCCUCACAUGUGUCAGCCUUCAAAUUGGUGUGACAAGCAUUCCCCACUACAACAGACAAUGGGAAACAGAUUCUUUGUAACCACUCUUAGUGCUAAAAUAAUGCUACUGUUCUUGUGGUUAAAUUAUGAUGUAUACUAUGUCAUCAUUAAUUUUCUGUAUCUAAAUGCUUAUCUAUUAGAAAUUGCUUCAGAUGAAUAUACAUAAAUAAAUGAAACUCAUUAAAAUCAU
Molecule: non-coding RNA, 2559 nt
Organism: Cricetulus griseus (Chinese hamster)
Lineage: Eukaryota; Metazoa; Chordata; Mammalia; Rodentia; Cricetidae
Source: RefSeq, a predicted model, not a curated record